GUGAAUCAUCGAAUCUUUGAACGCACCUUGCGCUCCUUGGUAUUCCGAGGAGUAUGCCUGUUUCAGUAUCAUGAGCACUCUCACACCUAACCUUUGGGUUAUGCUGUGGAAUUGGGAUGCGCCGAUUUUUACUAGUCGGCACUCCUAAAAUGUAGCUCUUGGCUGUUUCCUACUACAGCAGUUUGGCCUAAUAGUUUUGACUUUUGUCAAAUCUUUGGCUACAUUUGCUUCUGGAAAUCAGUCUUGAUAAUACAGAAAACUCAUUUCAAACUUUGAUCUGAAAUCAGGUAGGGCUACCCG
RNAcentral lists this unclassified non-coding RNA (300 nucleotides) under uncultured Umbelopsis. RNAcentral describes it as "sequence contains 5.8S rRNA gene, ITS2". The stretch from base 1 to 71 matches the Rfam family "5.8S ribosomal RNA", at positions 84 to 154 of the family's 154-position model. The record is from RNAcentral. Lineage: Eukaryota; Fungi; Mucoromycota; Umbelopsidomycetes; Umbelopsidales; Umbelopsidaceae.